This 506-nucleotide ribosomal RNA is filed under the name uncultured bacterium. Its description in RNAcentral is "partial 16S ribosomal RNA". It matches the Rfam family "Bacterial small subunit ribosomal RNA", at positions 29 to 523 of the family's 1533-position model. The record is from RNAcentral.
AGUGAACGCUGGCGGUAGGCCUAACACAUGCAAGUCGAACGGCAGCACAGGAGAGCUUGCUCUCUGGGUGGCGAGUGGCGGACGGGUGAGGAAUACAUCGGAAUCUACUUUUUCGUGGGGGAUAACGUAGGGAAACUUACGCUAAUACCGCAUACGACCUACGGGUGGAAGCAGGGGACCUUCGGUCCUUGCGCGAUUGAAUGAGCCGAUGUCGGAUUAGCUAGUUGGCGGGGUAAAGGCCCACCAAGGCGACGAUCCGUAGCUGGUCUGAGAGGAUGAUCAGCCACACUGGAACUGAGACACGGUCCAGACUCCUACGGGAGGCAGCAGUGGGGAAUAUUGGACAAUGGGCGCAAGCCUGAUCCAGCCAUACCGCGUGGGUGAAGAAGGCCUUCGGGUUGUAAAGCCCUUUUGUUGGGAAAGAAAUCCAGCUGGCUAAUACCCGGUUGGGAUGACGGUACCCAAAGAAUAAGCACCGGCUAACUUCGUGCCAGCAGCCGCGGUAA